GAUGAACGCUGGCGGCGUGCCUAAUACAUGCAAGUCGAGCGAACAGACGAGGAGCUUGCUCCUCUGACGUUAGCGGCGGACGGGUGAGUAACACGUGGAUAACCUACCUAUAAGACUGGGAUAACUUCGGGAAACCGGAGCUAAUACCGGAUAAUAUAUUGAACCGCAUGGUUCAAUAGUGAAAGACGGUUUUGCUGUCACUUAUAGAUGGAUCCGCGCCGCAUUAGCUAGUUGGUAAGGUAACGGCUUACCAAGGCGACGAUGCGUAGCCGACCUGAGAGGGGGAGCGCCCACACGGGAACGGAGACACGGCCCAGACCCCGACGGGAGGAAGCAGGAGGGAAUCUUCCGAAAGGGGCGAAAGCCUGACGGAGCAACGCCGCGUGAGGGAUGAAGGUCUUCGGAUCGAAAAACUCUGUUAUGAGGGAAGAACAAAUGUGAAAGUAACUAUGCACGUCUUGACGGUACCUAAUAAGAAAGCCACGGCUAACUACGUG
RNAcentral lists this ribosomal RNA (497 nucleotides) under uncultured bacterium. RNAcentral's name for it is "partial 16S ribosomal RNA". It matches the Rfam family "Bacterial small subunit ribosomal RNA", at positions 28 to 507 of the family's 1533-position model. The record is from RNAcentral.